GACAGAGGUGCCGAGCGUUAGGCGGAAUCACUGGGCUUAAAGCGUGUGUAGGCGGACCGUUAAGUGCCUUGUGAAAUCCCACGGCUCAACCGUGGAACGGCUGGGCAGACUGGCGGUCUUGAGCCACCUAAGGGCGGACGGAACAAGCGGUGGAGCGGUGAAAUGCGUAGAUAUCGUCUGGAACGCCAAAGGUGAAAACAGACUGCUGGGAGUGUGCUGACGCUGAGACACGAAAGCCAGGGGAGCAAACGGG
RNAcentral lists this ribosomal RNA (253 nucleotides) under uncultured bacterium. Its description in RNAcentral is "partial 16S ribosomal RNA". It matches the Rfam family "Bacterial small subunit ribosomal RNA", at positions 524 to 776 of the family's 1533-position model. The record is from RNAcentral.